Molecule: transfer RNA, 73 nt
Filed under: Stegodyphus mimosarum
Lineage: Eukaryota; Metazoa; Arthropoda; Arachnida; Araneae; Eresidae
Rfam family: tRNA
About the family: Transfer RNA (tRNA) molecules are approximately 80 nucleotides in length. Their secondary structure includes four short double-helical elements and three loops (D, anti-codon, and T loops).
Source: Rfam by way of RNAcentral
GCCUUCGUGGUGUAAUGGUCAGCAAACUCGGCGCAUAAUCAAGAGAUCCGUGGUUCGAGUCCCGGCGAAAGCA